RNAcentral lists this non-coding RNA (22 nucleotides) under Arabidopsis thaliana (thale cress). The record is from RNAcentral. Lineage: Eukaryota; Viridiplantae; Streptophyta; Magnoliopsida; Brassicales; Brassicaceae.
GAGCAUGUGGAUAGCCAGAUGG